Molecule: ribosomal RNA, 500 nt
Filed under: uncultured bacterium
Lineage: Bacteria
Description: bacterial SSU rRNA
Rfam family: Bacterial small subunit ribosomal RNA
Source: RNAcentral
GAUGAACGCUGGCGGCAUGCCUAAUACAUGCAAGUCGAACGGGGUGCUUGCACCCAGUGGCGAACGGGUGAGUAACACGUAUUUAAUCUACCUAUUAGUGGGGGACAACAGUUGGAAACGACUGCUAAUACCGCAUAAUACAACCUUAGACAUCUUUGGUUGUUGAAAGGGCCAAUUGGUCCGCUAGUAGAUGAGGAUGCGGCGUAUUAGCUAGUUGGUAAGGUAAUGGCUUACCAAGGCGAUGAUACGUAGCCGACCUGAGAGGGUGAUCGGCCACAUCGGGACUGAGACACGGCCCGAACUCCUACGGGAGGCAGCAGUAGGGAAUUUUUCACAAUGGGCGAAAGCCUGAUGGAGCAAUGCCGCGUGAUUGAUGAAGGUCUUCGGAUCGUAAAGAUCUGUUGUUAGGGAAGAAGGAACAGGAGAGUGGAAAAUUCUUGUUUUGACGGUACCUAACCAGAAAGCCACGGCUAACUAUGUGCCAGCCGCCGCCGUAAAAC